UACAGAGGGUGCGAGCGUUAAUCGGAAUUACUGGGCGUAAAGCGUGCGUAGACGGCUAUCUAAGUCGGGUGUGAAAGCCCCGGGCUCAACCUGGGAAUUGCAUUCGAGACUGUCUAGCUAGAGUAUGGGAGAGGGAAGUGGAAUUUCAGGUGUAGCGGUGAAAUGCGUAGAUAUCUGAAGGAACAUCAGUGGCGAAAGCGACUUCCUGGACCAAUACUGACGCUCAUGUGCGAAAGCGUGGGGAGCAAACAGG
RNAcentral lists this ribosomal RNA (253 nucleotides) under uncultured bacterium. Its description in RNAcentral is "partial 16S ribosomal RNA". It matches the Rfam family "Bacterial small subunit ribosomal RNA", at positions 524 to 776 of the family's 1533-position model. The record is from RNAcentral.